RNAcentral lists this ribosomal RNA (600 nucleotides) under Actinomycetales bacterium So2Pw_1377. RNAcentral's name for it is "bacterial SSU rRNA". It matches the Rfam family "Bacterial small subunit ribosomal RNA", at positions 395 to 1007 of the family's 1533-position model. The record is from RNAcentral. Lineage: Bacteria; Bacillati; Actinomycetota; Actinomycetes; Actinomycetales.
UGCCGCGUGAGGGAUGAAGGCCUUCGGGUUGUAAACCUCUUUCACCAGGGACGAAACGCAUGUGACGGUACCUGCAGACUAAGGACCGGCUAACUACAUGCCACCCGCCGCGAUAAUACGUACGGUGCAAGCGUUGUCCGGAAUUACUGGGCGUAAAGAGUUCUUACGCGGUUUGUCACGUGUGUUGUCAAAACUCUAGCUCAACUGUGAGCCUGCAGGCUAUACCGGCAGACUUGAGUACUGCCGGGGAGACUGGAAUUCCUGGUGUAGCGAUGAAAUGCGCAGAGUCAAGAGGAACACCGGUAGCGAAGGCGGGUCUCUGGUCGGGAACUGACGCUGAGGAACCAAGGCGUGGGUAGCGGACAGGAUUAGAUACCCUGGUACUCCACGCCAUACACGGGGGGCCCUAGGUGUGGGUUCCUUCCACGGAAUCCGUGCCGUACCUUAAGCAUUAAGCGCCCCGCCUGGGGAGUACGGACGCAAGGCUAAAACUCAUAGGAAUUGACAGGGGCCCGCGCAAGCGGCGGAACAUGUGGAUUAAUUCGAUGCAGCGCGUAAAAUCUUACCUGCGUGUGACAUAUACCGCACAGCCGUAGAGAU